This 376-nucleotide ribosomal RNA is filed under the name uncultured organism. Its description in RNAcentral is "partial 16S ribosomal RNA". It matches the Rfam family "Bacterial small subunit ribosomal RNA", at positions 527 to 896 of the family's 1533-position model. The record is from RNAcentral.
GUAGGUGGCAAGCGUUGUCCGGAAUUAUUGGGCGUAAAGCGCGCGCAGGCGGUUCUUUAAGUCUGAUGUGAAAGCCCACGGCUCAACCGUGGAGGGUCAUUGGAAACUGGAGAACUUGAGUACAGAAGAGGAAAGCGGAAUUCCACGUGUAGCGGUGAAAUGCGUAGAGAUGUGGAGGAACACCAGUGGCGAAGGCGGCUUUCUGGUCUGUAACUGACGCUGAGGCGCGAAAGCGUGGGGGAGCAAACAGGAUUAGAUACCCUGGUAGUCCACGCCGUAAACGAUGAGUGCUAAGUGUUAGGGGGCUUCCGCCCCCCCCUUAGUGCUGCAGCUAACGCAUUAAGCACUCCGCCUGGGGAGUACGGCCGCAAGGCUG